Molecule: ribosomal RNA, 628 nt
Filed under: Trichoderma harzianum
Lineage: Eukaryota; Fungi; Ascomycota; Sordariomycetes; Hypocreales; Hypocreaceae
Description: eukaryotic LSU rRNA
Rfam family: 5.8S ribosomal RNA (bases 270-423)
Source: RNAcentral
UGGGUUUGGGGGGUGGUAAACUUCGGGUUGUUUUUUCUUUGGGGGGGGGGACUCGGAGGGAUCAUUACCGAGUUUACAACUCCCAAACCCAAUGUGAACGUUACCAAACUGUUGCCUCGGCGGGAUCUCUGCCCCGGGUGCGUCGCAGCCCCGGACCAAGGCGCCCGCCGGAGGACCAACCUAAAACUCUUAUUGUAUACCCCCUCGCGGGUUUUUUUAUAAUCUGAGCCUUCUCGGCGCCUCUCGUAGGCGUUUCGAAAAUGAAUCAAAACUUUCAACAACGGAUCUCUUGGUUCUGGCAUCGAUGAAGAACGCAGCGAAAUGCGAUAAGUAAUGUGAAUUGCAGAAUUCAGUGAAUCAUCGAAUCUUUGAACGCACAUUGCGCCCGCCAGUAUUCUGGCGGGCAUGCCUGUCCGAGCGUCAUUUCAACCCUCGAACCCCUCCGGGGGGUCGGCGUUGGGGAUCGGCCCUCCCUUAGCGGGUGGCCGUCUCCGAAAUACAGUGGCGGUCUCGCCGCAGCCUCUCCUGCGCAGUAGUUUGCACACUCGCAUCGGGAGCGCGGCGCGUCCACAGCCGUUAAACACCCAACUUCUGAAAUGUGACCUCGGAUCAGGUAGGAACCCCAGUC